UGAUCCAAUGCGGACCUCUCAGAAACUAAAGACAAAGUAGAUACGGUUUAAAGUAGAACAAUAGUAUUAAGUUUGCUGGAUAUUAUUAUAGAAAUACUUGGUAUACUUAAACAAAACAGCGCACGCCUCUGAACAUUUUAUGAAUUAAAUCACCCAUGUUUUCAGAAAACUGCAUUCCCCUUACCGUUGCCCCGUCGUUUUUGAUGAGAUCUGAUUGUCAAACUGCAUGUCUAUAAUAAUUUUCCUAUGUUGUAUGUUGUUACUUAGAUUAGAACCAUUUUUAAUCGCUAUAUAAACGUGUGAACUGUUUGUAAUGCCGUUGCGAUAACCUUUUGGACGUUUCGUAUCCUUUUAGGACGUUGUUGUGCACCAUAAACAAUUUGUGUGCAGUAUUAGUCGCACGUAGAAGACCGAUUGAAUAUUUUUGGCUUGAAAAUGGUAAACUUUGAUAUCAAAGGUAAGGUGGCCCUUAUCACGGGUGGAGCUGCGGGCCUAGGAUUUCGAUUUGCAGUGGAAUUAUUAGAAGCUGGAGCUAGGGCUGUUACGUUAGCCGAUAUUGAUGCACACGUAGGAAAAAAAUCA
Long non-coding RNA from Sitophilus oryzae (rice weevil), 582 nucleotides. RefSeq lists it as uncharacterized. The record is from RefSeq and is a predicted model, not a curated record. Lineage: Eukaryota; Metazoa; Arthropoda; Insecta; Coleoptera; Curculionidae. The transcript has 2 exons.